GAUGAACGCUGGCGGCGUGCUUAACACAUGCAAGUCGAACGGAAAGGCCCAAGCUUGCUUGGGUACUCGAGUGGCGAACGGGUGAGUAACACGUGGGUGAUCUGCCCUGCACUUCGGGAUAAGCCUGGGAAACUGGGUCUAAUACCGGAUAGGACCACUUCUUGGAUGUUGUGGUGGAAAGUUUUUUCGGUGUGGGAUGAGCUCGCGGCCUAUCAGCUUGUUGGUGGGGUAAUGGCCUACCAAGGCGUCGACGGGUAGCCGGCCUGAGAGGGUGUACGGCCACAUUGGGACUGAGAUACGGCCCAGACUCCUACGGGGGGCAGCAGUGGGGAAUAUUGCACAAUGGGCGCAAGCCUGAUGCAGCGACGCCGCGGGGGGGAUGACGGCCUUCGGGUUGUAAACUCCUUUCGCUAGGGACGAAGCGUUUUGUGACGGUACCUGGAGAAGAAGCACCGGCUAACUACGUG
RNAcentral lists this ribosomal RNA (467 nucleotides) under uncultured bacterium. Its description in RNAcentral is "partial 16S ribosomal RNA". It matches the Rfam family "Bacterial small subunit ribosomal RNA", at positions 28 to 507 of the family's 1533-position model. The record is from RNAcentral.